UCAGAAAUGCAUGCGGCCUGACUA
This 24-nucleotide non-coding RNA is filed under the name Arabidopsis thaliana (thale cress). The record is from RNAcentral. Lineage: Eukaryota; Viridiplantae; Streptophyta; Magnoliopsida; Brassicales; Brassicaceae.